GUAGGUGGCAAGCGUUGUCCGGAAUUAUUGGGCGUAAAGCGCGCGCAGGCGGUUCUUUAAGUCUGAUGUGAAAGCCCACGGCUCAACCGUGGAGGGUCAUUGGAAACUGGAGAACUUGAGUACAGAAGAGGAAAGCGGAAUUCCACGUGUAGCGGUGAAAUGCGUAGAGAUGUGGAGGAACGCCAGUGGCGAAGGCGGCUUUCUGGUCUGUAACUGACGCUGAGGCGCGAAAGCGUGGGGAGCAAACAGGAUUAGAUACCCUGGUAGUCCACGCCGUAAACGAUGAGUGCUAAGUGUUAGGGGGUUUCCGCCCCCUUAGUGCUGCAGCUAACGCAUUAAGCACUCCGCCUGGGAGUACGGCCGCAAGGCUG
This 371-nucleotide ribosomal RNA is filed under the name uncultured organism. Its description in RNAcentral is "partial 16S ribosomal RNA". It matches the Rfam family "Bacterial small subunit ribosomal RNA", at positions 527 to 896 of the family's 1533-position model. The record is from RNAcentral.